This 66-nucleotide transfer RNA is filed under the name Glaucias dorsalis. RNAcentral describes it as "tRNA-Cys". Lineage: Eukaryota; Metazoa; Arthropoda; Insecta; Hemiptera; Pentatomidae. The record is from RNAcentral.
AGCUUUAUAGUCAAUUAAUUUAUGAUAUUAGACUGCAAUUCUAAAGUAGAGAUAUCUCUAAAGCUU